Molecule: ribosomal RNA, 411 nt
Filed under: uncultured bacterium
Lineage: Bacteria
Description: bacterial SSU rRNA
Rfam family: Bacterial small subunit ribosomal RNA
Source: RNAcentral
ACGUGGAGGGGCCAUUCGAUACUGCCGUGACUCGAGUCCGGUAGGGGAGUGUGGAAUUCCCGGUGUAGCGGUGAAAUGCGCAGAGAUCGGGAGGAACACCCGUAGCGAAGGCGGCACUCUGGGCCGGUACUGACGCUGAGGAGCGAAAGCGUGGGGAGCGAACAGGAUUAGAUACCCUGGUAGUCCACGCCGUAAACGUUGGGCACUAGGUGUGGGACUCUAUCGACGGGUUCCGUGCCGUAGCUAACGCAUUAAGUGCCCCGCCUGGGGAGUACGGCCGCAAGGCUAAAACUCAAAGGAAUUGACGGGGGCCCGCACAAGCGGCGGAGCAUGUGGCUUAAUUCGAUGCAACGCGAAGAACCUUACCUGGGUUGAACUAUGCAGGAAAAGCAGUAGAGAUACUGUGUCCUU